GACGAACGUUGGCGGCGUGCUUAAUACAUGCAAGUCCACUGAAGCAGUGGUAGCAAUAUCGCUGUGGAGGUGGCGCACGGGUGAGUAACACGUAGGUAAUCUGCCUUCAGGUCUGGCAUAACUCCGUGAAACCGGGGCUAAUAGCAGAUGAUGCAGCGGCUCGACAUCGAGACAGUUGUUAAAGCUAUGGCGCCUGAAGAUGAGCCUGCGUCUGAUUAGCUAGUUGGCGGGGUAACGGCCCACCAAGGCAACGAUCAGUAGCUGGUCUGAGAGGAUGAUCAGCCACACUGGAACGGAGACACGGUCCAGACUCCUACGGGAGGCAGAAGUAAGGAAUAUUGCUCAAUGGGAGAAAUCCUGAAGCAGCAACGCCGCGUGAGGGACGAAGGGCUUUUGCUUGUAAACCUCUGUAGUGAGAGAAAAAAAUCCCAAUCUUUGGGACAUGAUGGUAUCUCAAAAGUAAGCCCCGGCUAACUACGUG
Molecule: ribosomal RNA, 481 nt
Filed under: uncultured bacterium
Lineage: Bacteria
Description: partial 16S ribosomal RNA
Rfam family: Bacterial small subunit ribosomal RNA
Source: RNAcentral